UACGGGGGGGGCAAGCGUUGUUCGGAAUUACUGGGCGUAAAGGGCUCGUAGGCGGCCAACUAAGUCAGACGUGAAAUCCCCAGGCUCAACCUGGGAACUGCGUCUGAUACUGGAUGGCUUGAAUCCGGGAGAGGGAUGCAGAAUUCCAGGUGUAGCGGUGAAAUGCGUAGAUAUCUGGAGGAAUACCGGUGGCGAAGGCGGCAUCCUGGACCGGCAUUGACGCUGAGGCGCGAAAGCUAGGGGAGCAAACGGG
This 253-nucleotide ribosomal RNA is filed under the name uncultured bacterium. Its description in RNAcentral is "partial 16S ribosomal RNA". It matches the Rfam family "Bacterial small subunit ribosomal RNA", at positions 524 to 776 of the family's 1533-position model. The record is from RNAcentral.